RNAcentral lists this long non-coding RNA (1085 nucleotides) under Apteryx owenii (little spotted kiwi). Its description in RNAcentral is "lncRNA (ENSAOWG00000016902.1)". Lineage: Eukaryota; Metazoa; Chordata; Aves; Apterygiformes; Apterygidae. The record is from RNAcentral.
UAUUGGGUGGUCUAGAACCCGUUUGGUGUCCCCAGACACCAUUGGGGGGGUGUGACAAUGUUGGGUGGUCUAGAACCCGUUGGGUGAUGCAGGACACCCUAGGGGGUGUGUGACAACGUUGGGUGGUCUAGAACCCGUUGGGUGUCCCCAGACACCAUCGGGGGGGUGUGACAACGUUGGGUGGUCUAGAACCUGCUGGGGGACCCAUGACACCAUUGGGAGGAGGUGGUCCCAUUGGGUGGUCUAGAACCUGUUGGGUGUCCCCAGACACCACUGGGGUGUGUGUGACAACGUUGGGUGGUCUAGAACCCGUUGGGUGUCCCCAGACACCAUUGGGGGUGUGUGACAAUGUUGGGUGGUCUAGAACCCAUUGGGUGCCCCUGGACACCAUUGGGGGGGUGUGACGUUGGGUGGUCUAGAACCCGUUGGGUGUCCAGGACACCAUCGGGGCGGGUAGGUGAUAUUGGGUGAUCUAGAACCUGCUGAGGGACCCAGGACACUGUCUGGGCGGGGCCUCACUGGGUGAUCUAGAACCUGGUGACUCAGGAUACCAUGGAGACAGGAGGGACCCUAUUGGGUGAUCUAGAACCCUUUGGGUGUCCCCACAGGUGCACCGAGGGGCCCAGGCGUCCGGGACGGAGGCAGGCAUCCAGGCCGGGGGUGGGCAGAAGGGCCCAGGCGUCCGGGUUUAUUGCCCUGCCACCCCAAAGGGGCCCAGGUGUCCGGGGUGGUGGCGCUCAGAGGGGCCCAGGCGUCCGGGACGGAGGGGCCCAGGCGUCUGGGCUAGUGUCGCUCAGAGGGGCCCAGGUGUCUGGGGCAGAGGGGCCCAGGCGUCCGGGCCGGUGUCACUUGGAGGGGCCCAGGCGUCCGGGGUGGUGUUGCUCGGAGGGGCCCAGGCGUCUUGGUUGAAGGUGCUCAGAGGGGCCCAGGCGUCCGGGCCGGUGUCACUUGGAGGGGCCCAGGCGUCCGGGGUGGUGUCGCUCAGAGGGGCCCAGGCAUCUGGGUCGAAGGUGCUCAGAGGGGCCCAGGCGUCCGGGAUGGUGUCGCUCAGAGGGGCCCAGGUGUCCGGGGCAGAGGGGCCCAGG